AUACUUACUUGGCGCGAGGGUUAACCGUGAUCAUUAAGGCGGUUCCUUCAGGAGGAGGUUGGCUCAUUGCACUACGAGUCAGCUGAACCCUGUGAGUGUCCCAAAUGCGGGCAUCUCGGGCGCGUAAUUUUUGUUAGUCGGGACUGCGUUCGCGCCGUCCCGGU
Planococcus citri (citrus mealybug) is the source of this 164-nucleotide small nuclear RNA. RefSeq annotates it as U1 spliceosomal RNA. The record is from RefSeq and is a predicted model, not a curated record. Lineage: Eukaryota; Metazoa; Arthropoda; Insecta; Hemiptera; Pseudococcidae. The transcript has a single exon.